AAAGGCUUUAGAAAACAAAGAAGAAAAACAAAAAAACAAAAGGAGAAAGCUUACCAGCGCACUCUACUGCCGCGGCCCAGCAGACAGGCCGGCCCAAUUCCUGGCCAGGCCGCACGCCCCUCCCCUUCUCCCUCUUUUCUCUCUGACCAUCAGGCUCCACCACCUCUUUCACUGACGCCCUGGCCCACCUGGCGGCGCCCGUCGUCUUCCUCUCCCCA
RNAcentral lists this long non-coding RNA (218 nucleotides) under Sorghum bicolor (sorghum). RNAcentral describes it as "long non-coding RNA (SBIC_LNC018056)". The record is from RNAcentral. Lineage: Eukaryota; Viridiplantae; Streptophyta; Magnoliopsida; Poales; Poaceae.